Molecule: non-coding RNA, 26 nt
Filed under: Mus musculus (house mouse)
Lineage: Eukaryota; Metazoa; Chordata; Mammalia; Rodentia; Muridae
Source: RNAcentral
UAGAAGGACUGGUGGUCGCGUCAUUC